GCUGGAGGGUCCAUGAGAUGGAAGUCGGUUGGGAUGGCCUGGGCCCUGGCCAGUGCCAGGAGGCCUGGUUCCGAUGCCCUGCUCGAAGCCAGCCAGUCCCUGAGGAGAGACAGUCAGUCAGCAGGCAGCACUUUCUGUGUCUUACGCAGCAGGUGACGGCAGGGAGUCUGACCCUGCUUUUACCAUGAAAACCAACAAUCUCAGCCAGGCAAGACCUGAAGACCAAGCUGGGACACAGGCCACAAAAGCCAUCUGAGUGACAGGGAUGGGGUGCAGGCCCAACCCAAGGGGAGCAGCCCAGACUGGCCCUGGCUGGUUAGGGCCAUGCUGGAUGGAUUCAGGCCCAAUAUUACCAGUUCUUCCUGUCAAAUCCAAACUAGGGGCAAAACAUUAUUUUACUUUUUCCGUAACCACUCACGAUCCAUCCCUAUUAGUUUUGGGGUGUUUUUUAAACCGUUAUUUUUGAAUAGGCAAUAGGUAACCACCAUCACCAGUUUCUUUUGUUUUCUUUCUGGGAUAAUCAAUGUAUAUGCAAUGCAAACGAGAGCACAUGUGCCUUGUUUGAUUCACUCAGUAUUACUGCAAUUCUUUCUAACAGCAAUGAAUUCAAACUUGUUUCCAGAUUAUAUGGGUCAGCUGGUACCUCUGGUUGGAGCUGUAGAGCAUAAGAAGUUGGCCUUUAGUCCUGAAGGAGAAAACUGAGGUCAAGGUAGUGAAGGGACAGGGAAGGCUGGGGUAAGUGGCCUGGCUAGGUCGCACACCCUUGCUCUCACUUCACUGCCCGCCAAAGCUAGCUCUUUUGCUCUGGACUCAGCUGGACAGAUCAAUGGAACAGCACUGAUAUACGUGCCAGACAGCACGGUGCCAGCUGCAAAGACAACAUAAAUUUCCCAAAGGGCAGGCUGUCUUGGAGGGAGGGAAGGGUGGCUCCAGAAAGCCGGGAGGGGCACAUCAAAUUGCCAGGGGCUGCAGGACCAGGUGAGUCCAGGUGCCAGCGCAUGACUGUGGCACAAAGCAGGGGUGGCCUGGUGGAGGGACCUCAAGAUUUAAGCAGUGAGGAAAAUAACAGACCUCUUCCAAGCGCAGCUUUCCCAACCUGGCAGACUUUGGCCAGGCCCAGACCCAGGAGUCUCACCCAGGCCGGCGGGGUGAUGCCUGCCCUGCAGAUCUGAUGCAGGGUGUCGGUGACUGAGUUUACAUAUCAACACUUUUCAUUUUCCCCUCUCCAAGGAAACCAGGCCCAGAGCCUGAUCCACUUAGCUCCUCCCACACCAUCAACAAAGAUAUUUACUAUGUUCCCAACCAGGGAGCUGGCGAGGAUGUAAACGGUCUUGCCAUCCUUAUGUCCUCUACACCCCAUCUGGAAAGGGGAGUCCUUGUGCUUAUGGCCCCCAUUUCCUUAUCUAGCUCCCUUCUAGUCUGCAACAUUCCAGCUCAUUCUCUUUUAUUUAUACCUCAAAUAUUUAUAUAUACUUUCCAAAAGAGACUGGAAGCAUCUGCCAAGAAGUGUGGAUUCCCUCAGUGGGAAUGGAAUCUUUUGGGGUUUGUAAACAGGGAGUGAUGCAAUCAACUUUGCAUUUGAUUAAAGCUGCUCUGGCCCCUAACGUGGGGGGUGCAGGAGGAGCACCAGGCACUAGAAACCUGUCUGCUGUGAAAACAAAAGAUACAGGCCCUAAGGAGGGCAGGAAGCAAUGGGGAGGAGGAAAAAGAGCCUAGGACGACUGGGGAAUCUUGCUGGGUGACUGUAUGCCAGGGGCUCCUUUUUUUCUUUUUUUUUUUUUUUUUUGAGACAGAGUUUCACUCUUGUUGCCCUGGCUGGAGUGCAAUGGCACAAUGGCGCGAUCUCGGCUCACCGCAACCUCCGCCUCCUGGGUUCAAGCGAUUCUCCUGCCUCAGCCUCCCAAGUAGCUGGGAUUACAGGCACCCGCCACCACCAUGCCUGGCUAAUUUUUGUAUUUUUAGUAGAGACGGGGUUUCAUCAUGUUGGCCAGGCUGGUCUCAAACUCCUGACCUCAGGUGAUGCCCCCUGCCUCGGCCUCCCAAAGUGUUGGGAUUACAGGCGUGAGCCACCACACCCGGCCCGGGGCUCCCUUCUCAGACAUGUGAAAUGCAGGUGGGACAGGUUGGAGACAAGAAGACAUCCAGCUACACAGCACUCAGCUUGAGUGAGUGUGGCGUGGGGCUCAGGAGGCAGCUGGAGCUCCAGGCUGGAGGGAUCCAGGCACCAUCAGCAGGGAGAUGGCAGCUGGCAUCAAGGAGGGCAUGCAGUGCAUGGGGCCAACCAUGCUGGGGAUACAGAGCUCUCUAAGAACUCGCAGGCCUCUCUCCAGGAGCAGGCACCCCUCCCACCCACCCGCUAUUUCAGGAGUGAAUGUGGAAGAUGUCCUAUGCACGAGCAGCAGAGGUGGAGGCUGACCUACGAGGCUGAAUGAACGAGUCUGUGAAGGAUUCUGCCAAGCAGCCAGAGGGAGGAGAACACGGAAGGCUUUUAAGGAGUGAGACCAACACUACUAGGACGCCCCACUGGACUCAGACGAGAUGAGGCUGGAGACACAGCCACUGGAUGAGCAGUCCUGGGCACAGGUGAGGCCACAGUGGGACUGCAGAGGUUAAGUGAAUGCCCUGAGGAACUGGGUCAGUGGCUUUUUAGAUGGAGAUGAUGGCUCAGCAAAGGGAGAGAGCAAAGAAGCAGGCAGACAGAGGCAGGCAACUGUGCAUGCUCACACCAGGAACAUGGUUUACAGAAGAGGAAACGGAGCAGAAAGACCCCACCGGGACAGAAAUCGGCCCUUCCCUGUUGCCCUCCAACACACAGCCCUGCACCAGUGUGGCCCCGUCCUGCCCUCACCAGAUGCAGGCCUGGGUCUUGGUGAUGGGUCGUGCAUAACCCUCAUUCUCUUGGGGGUCAGUGACCUCUGCUGUGUUUCUGGUCCAUCACCUGCACACUGCAAACAGGUAGCCCAGUAGGACUGAGAACCAGCCGGCGCCCACCUGUGCAGACCCAACUAACCAUCAGGCUGCCCGCAGACACAAGGAGGAUGGCUUCCCGCACGUCCACCUGCUUCAGCACUCCUCCAGAAGGAGCCGUCCUUGUCCUAACUAUGGAAAUGAAGGGAACAGAGACCUCCUGGCCCAGCAACAGAGUCUGGAAAGAGGACUGGUGACAAGGAUGGCACUUGGGCCCUUUGAGGGAGGCUGACUGAGAACCAGGGAAGAUGGUCCCAGGCGUUGGCCUCCCAGUCCUCUCCCAGAACAUGAGCCCGCUCGGUGAUGCCACACAGCAGAGCCACAAUGCCACUUCCAAGAACAGUUCCAACUGCUCAAGGAUGGAAGCACAGUCACGCACGCUGCCCAAGGCAACCUGAGGAUGCAUCACAUUCUCGGAUCCUCCCCGCCCCGACAUGUGAGUCAGGAUCCUGCGAGUGAGGUACAGGACACUGCAGGGAGAGAUCCAGCAAGCCCUGCCCCUCCUAUCCCUGCUCUGGAGCCAGGGGCAGUAGUGAGGCCCCUCCCCCAGACAAAUCCGGCCCCCUAUCACCUGCGAAUGUGUCCCCACCACCCCACUCCCACACCUAGUGCUACAGGUAGUGGAGUGAUCUAAGCAAUCUGGAGGCCAGACUUUAAUGCAAAUCAUACUACUCCAGUUAUUAAAUGUUUACAA
This 3661-nucleotide long non-coding RNA is filed under the name Homo sapiens (human). Its description in RNAcentral is "HSALNT0130652". Lineage: Eukaryota; Metazoa; Chordata; Mammalia; Primates; Hominidae. The record is from RNAcentral.